This 469-nucleotide ribosomal RNA is filed under the name uncultured bacterium. Its description in RNAcentral is "bacterial SSU rRNA". It matches the Rfam family "Bacterial small subunit ribosomal RNA", at positions 335 to 796 of the family's 1533-position model. The record is from RNAcentral.
ACUCCUACGGGAGGCAGCAGUGGGGAAUAUUGCACAAUGGGGGAACCCUGAUGCAGCCAUGCCGCGUGUGUGAAGAAGGCCUUCGGGUUGUAAAGCACUUUCAGUAGGGAGGAAGGUAGUGUAGUUAACACCUGCAUUAUUUGACGUUACCUACAGAAGAAGCACCGGCUAACUCCGUGCCAGCAGCCGCGGUAAUACGUAGGGCGCAAGCGUUGUCCGGAAUUAUUGGGCGUAAAGAGCUCGUAGGCGGUUUGUCGCGUCUGCUGUGAAAUCCCGAGGCUCAACCUCGGGCCUGCAGUGGGUACGGGCAGACUAGAGUGUGGUAGGGGAGACUGGAAUUCCUGGUGUAGCGGUGGAAUGCGCAGAUAUCAGGAGGAACACCGAUGGCGAAGGCAGUCUCUGGGCCACAACUGACGCUGAGGAGCGAAAGCGUGGGGAGCGAACAGGAUUAGAUACCCUGGUAGCGACU